CUUACGCACUCCUACGGGAGGCAGCAGUGGGGAAUAUUGCACAAUGGGGGAAACCCUGAUGCAGCCAUGCCGCGUGUGUGAAGAAGGCCUUCGGGUUGUAAAGCACUUUCAGCGAGGAGGAAAGGUCAGUAGCUAAUAUCUGCUGGCUGUGACGUUACUCGCAGAAGAAGCACCGGCUAACUCCGUGCCAGCAGCCGCGGUAAUACGGAGGGUGCAAGCGUUAAUCGGAAUUACUGGGCGUAAAGCGCACGCAGGCGGUUGGAUAAGUUAGAUGUGAAAAGCCCCGGGCUCAACCUGGGAAUUGCAUUUAAAACUGUCCGGCUAGAGUCUUGUAGAGGGGGGUAGAAUUCCAGGUGUAGCGGUGAAAUGCGUAGAGAUCUGGAGGAAUACCGGUGGCGAAGGCGGCCCCCUGGACAAAGACUGACGCUCAGGUGCGAAAGCGUGGGGAGCAAACAGGAUUAGAUAACCUGGUAG
RNAcentral lists this ribosomal RNA (474 nucleotides) under uncultured bacterium. RNAcentral describes it as "bacterial SSU rRNA". It matches the Rfam family "Bacterial small subunit ribosomal RNA", at positions 328 to 793 of the family's 1533-position model. The record is from RNAcentral.